RNAcentral lists this ribosomal RNA (873 nucleotides) under Verrucomicrobiota bacterium. Its description in RNAcentral is "bacterial SSU rRNA". It matches the Rfam family "Bacterial small subunit ribosomal RNA", at positions 19 to 886 of the family's 1533-position model. The record is from RNAcentral. Lineage: Bacteria; Pseudomonadati; Verrucomicrobiota.
UCUGCUCAGAACGAACGCUGGCGGCGUGUUUAAGACAUGCAAGUCGAACGGAGUAAGUCUUGUAGCAAUACACGAUUUGCUCAGUGGCGCACGGGUGCGUAACACGUGAGUUACAUGCCCUGUAGUGGGGAAUAGCCCGCCGAAAGGCGGAUUAAUACCCCAUGGUUCCGCAAGGAUAAAGGUGGCGAAAGCUGCCGCUACAGGAUUGGCUCGCGUCCUAUCAGCUAGUUGGAGAGGUAACGGCUCACCAAGGCAACGACGGGUACCUGGUCUGAGAGGACGAUCAGGCACACUGGAACUGAGACACGGUCCAGACACCUACGGGUGGCAGCAGUCGAGAAUAAUUCACAAUGGGGGAAACCCUGAUGGUGCAACGCCGCGUGGAGGAUGAAGGUCUUCGGAUUGUAAACUCCUGUCAUUCAAGAGUAAGACCUGGCGGUGAAUAGCCGACAGGGUUGAUAGUAUUGGAAGAGGAAGGGACGGCUAACUUCGUGCCAGCAGCCGCGGUAAUACGAAGGUCCCGAGCGUUGUUCGGAAUCACUGGGCGUAAAGGGAGCGUAGGCGGCGUGGUAAGUCAGAUGUGAAAUCCCGGGGCUCAACCCCGGAACUGCAUCCGAUACUGCCAUGCUAGAGGACUGGAGAGGUGACUGGAAUUCUCGGUGUAGCAGUGAAAUGCGUAGAGAUCGAGAGGAACACUCGUGGCGAAGGCGAGUCACUGGACAGUAUCUGACGCUGAGGCUCGAAGGCUAGGGGAGCGAAAGGGAUUAGAUACCCCUGUAGUCCUAGCAGUAAACGGUGCACGCUUGGUGUGAGGGGAAUCGACCCCCCUUGUGCCGGAGCUAACGCGUUAAGCGUGCCGCCUGGAGACGCGUU